RNAcentral lists this ribosomal RNA (253 nucleotides) under uncultured bacterium. RNAcentral describes it as "partial 16S ribosomal RNA". It matches the Rfam family "Bacterial small subunit ribosomal RNA", at positions 524 to 776 of the family's 1533-position model. The record is from RNAcentral.
UACGUAGGGCGCGAGCGUUGUCCGGAAUUAUUGGGCGUAAAGAGCUCGUAGGCGGCUUGUUGCGUCUGCUGUGAAAUCCCGGGGCUUAACCCCGGGCGUGCAGUGGAUACGGGCAGGCUGGAGGCAGGCAGGGGAGAGUGGAAUUCCCGGUGUAGCGGUGAAAUGCGCAGAUAUCGGGAGGAACACCGGUGGCGAAGGCGGUUCUCUGGGCCUGUUCUGACGCUGAGGAGCGAAAGCGUGGGGAGCGAACAGG